Long non-coding RNA from Oncorhynchus tshawytscha (Chinook salmon), 1183 nucleotides. The record is from Ensembl. NCBI's taxonomy places the organism in Eukaryota, Metazoa, Chordata, Actinopteri, Salmoniformes, Salmonidae.
GGAAAGUUUCCUCUGACGAACUCUACAAGCCAGAAUGUUUCUGAAAAUGAUGUACUUUUUUGCACGAGAGGUGAAGGUCGAGUAAUGCGUCCUCCGAAACAUGAACCACCAAGCCUCACUUCUUACCACCUGCUUGCACCAAUGUGUCGGACAAAACACCAUACAACUGAUGACCAGAGUCAGCCUGCAGGCGCCCGGCCCACCACAAGGAGUCGCUAGGGCGCGAUGAGCCAAGUAAAGCCCCCCCGGCCAAAACCUCCCCUAACCCGGAUGACGCUGGGCCAAUUGUGUGCCGCCAUAUGGGACUCCCGGUCACGGCUGGUUGUGACAUAGCCUGGGAUCGAACACCAGGCUGUAGUGAUGAUGCAACACUGUGAUCCAGUGCCUUAGACCGCUGCACCAGUCAGGCCCUCAUUAUGCUUAAUUCAUUGUUUAAAAAAAAUAGGUAUAUUUUUCUGCAUAUUAGUCCUGAGUGAUUAACCAAAAUGUUGGUUAUUUUUCAUUUUUCUUUUUUUUUGGGGACCGAUGUCAUUUCAAUUAUUUGUAUUCCAUUUCCUUCUGUUUUUUUUCUGUGAGCUCAAUGUGCACAUUGCAUAGUUUUUCUAGCGAUAAAUCAGAUCAAGCCCAGAACUGUGCGAUAUAGUAGGGAGUUGUAGUUUCCAACAGGACAAAAUUCUACAUAGUUUAGUACAGAAAACGUGGUAUUUAAUUACAAUGACCAUAAGCCAUUGUGUGUCGGUGUGUUUCUUUUAUGCCACCUACAUUAGGUUAGUUUUGGGCAGGCAUGGAGAGAAGAGACAGAAUAAUGCGCAAUAGAAAGGGAUAGAAAGCAGUUGCUUCAUGAGGUAUCUGUACCUGAAAAUACAUGAUCUAAGUGAUUGAUAGUUGGUAUUUAGCAGUCAUAAAAGUAUGCCUUAUUUACCUAAUUACUAAAAUAGUGAUUUUGUCAGACAACAUAAGCAGCAGCUCUAUAUAGAUGAGAUGAUGACUUAGAAUGAAAUAAUAAAGUCAUAAAAUAAAACAAAUGUAACAUACCCAACAACUGAAAUAUUUUAUUGAAGUAAUGUGAAUAAAUGAUGGUUAAUAACUGGUACUCAGUAAUGGGCAGUCACUACCAUCAUGGGACUUUUACUAAUUGUAGACCGUCAUUGUAAAUAAUAAUUUGUUCUUAACUGACUUGCCC